GCGACGCCGCGUGAGUGAGGAAGUAUUUCGGUAUGUAAAGCUCUAUCAGCAGGGAAGAAAGAAAUGACGGUACCUGAGUAAGAAGCUCCGGCUAAAUACGUGCCAGCAGCCGCGGUAAUACGUAUGGAGCAAGCGUUAUCCGGAUUUACUGGGUGUAAAGGGAGCGUAGGCGGCAGAGCAAGUCUGAUGUGAAAGCCCGGGGCUCAACCCCGGUAGUGCAUUGGAAACUGUUCAGCUUGAGUGUCGGAGGGGUAAGCGGAAUUCCUGGUGUAGCGGUGAAAUGCGUAGAUAUCAGGAAGAACACCGGAGGCGAAUGCGGCUUACUGGACGAUUACUGACGCUGAGGCUCUAAAGCGUGGGGAGCGAACAGGAUUAGAUACCCUGGUAGUCACGCUGUAAACGAUGAAUACUAGGUGUCGGUACCCGAAGGGUAUCGGUGCCGUCGCAACGCAUAAGUAUCCACCUGGGGAGUACGUUCGC
This 480-nucleotide ribosomal RNA is filed under the name Shuttleworthella satelles. RNAcentral's name for it is "bacterial SSU rRNA". It matches the Rfam family "Bacterial small subunit ribosomal RNA", at positions 391 to 889 of the family's 1533-position model. The record is from RNAcentral. Lineage: Bacteria; Bacillati; Bacillota; Clostridia; Lachnospirales; Lachnospiraceae.